ACGCUCGACACCUACGGGAGGCAGCAGUGAGGAAUAUUGGUCAAUGGGCGCAGGCCUGAACCAGCCAAGUAGCGUGAAGGAUGACUGCCCUAUGGGUUGUAAACUUCUUUUAUAUGGGAAUAAAGUUUUCCACGUGUGGAAUUUUGUAUGUACCAUAUGAAUAAGGAUCGGCUAACUCCGUGCUAGCAGCCGCGGUAAUCUGAGCGGGCUGGCAAGGC
Molecule: ribosomal RNA, 218 nt
Filed under: uncultured bacterium
Lineage: Bacteria
Description: partial 16S ribosomal RNA
Rfam family: Bacterial small subunit ribosomal RNA
Source: RNAcentral